Haemorhous mexicanus (house finch) is the source of this 614-nucleotide long non-coding RNA. RefSeq lists it as uncharacterized. The record is from RefSeq and is a predicted model, not a curated record. The transcript is spliced from 2 exons. NCBI's taxonomy places the organism in Eukaryota, Metazoa, Chordata, Aves, Passeriformes, Fringillidae.
GGACCUUGUGGGGCUGUGGGGGGACACAGCUCCAGGGAGCAGGGCACAGGCAGAGGGAUGGGAAUUCAGGGCCUCCAAAGAGAUCUGUUUGAGCUGGGGGAAGACCCAAAGUCACUGAUCUGGGGUCCAUUGAGGGCCCAGGGAAUGGGGCUGGGGGUGUGGAAGGAGAGGGGUGUGAGGUGCAGGGAAGGAGAAAGAAAUUGCAGUGUAGGGACAUGGGAAUGCAGGGGAGGGGCUUGGUGGGGACAGAAGAACAAGGAUGGGUGGGAGCAGAACCAGCAAGUUGGGAGAUGCUGUGGGAGUGGGGAGUGAGUCAGGGAAUUCUACAGGGGGACCCUGCUAUACUGGCCAAGAAGAAAGGCAAAGGCUUGAAGGGGGACAAAGAAGGAGAGGCCUCAGGAAUGGUCAGUGGGAGGGCAUUUGGGGACCCUGAAUGGGACACAGAGGAGGGACCAAAAGGGUGGGAUGGGAGGCCAGAAAGGGCAAGAUGUGGGGACAGCCUUUAGCUGAUACCUCACCUUGGCCUGUGCCAGGGGGCACAGCAGGAUGGAGAAGAGCAGGGCCACGCUGAGCACAGCCACCUUCAUCUUCCUCUCGCUCUGGGCAGCGCUGCC